RNAcentral lists this ribosomal RNA (461 nucleotides) under uncultured Streptococcus sp. RNAcentral's name for it is "bacterial SSU rRNA". It matches the Rfam family "Bacterial small subunit ribosomal RNA", at positions 920 to 1382 of the family's 1533-position model. The record is from RNAcentral. Lineage: Bacteria; Bacillati; Bacillota; Bacilli; Lactobacillales; Streptococcaceae.
CCCGCACAAGCGGCGGAGCAUGCGGAUUAAUUCGAUGCAACGCGAAGAACCUUACCAGGUCUUGACAUCCCGAUGCUAUUUCUAGAGAUAGAAAGUUACUUCGGUACAUCGGUGACAGGUGGUGCAUGGUUGUCGUCAGCUCGUGUCGUGAGAUGUUGGGUUAAGUCCCGCAACGAGCGCAACCCCUAUUGUUAGUUGCCAUCAUUCAGUUGGGCACUCUAGCGAGACUGCCGGUAAUAAACCGGAGGAAGGUGGGGAUGACGUCAAAUCAUCAUGCCCCUUAUGACCUGGGCUACACACGUGCUACAAUGGUUGGUACAACGAGUUGCGAGUCGGUGACGGCGAGCUAAUCUCUUAAAGCCAAUCUCAGUUCGGAUUGUAGGCUGCAACUCGCCUACAUGAAGUCGGAAUCGCUAGUAAUCGCGGAUCAGCACGCCGCGGUGAAUACGUUCCCGGGCCUU